Molecule: long non-coding RNA, 1524 nt
Organism: Cyprinus carpio carpio
Lineage: Eukaryota; Metazoa; Chordata; Actinopteri; Cypriniformes; Cyprinidae
Source: Ensembl
AUGGUAAGCUGGUUGCUCUUGGGUAGAGAACAAUCUGGAAAUAUUGUAUUACAUCCAGACAGGGAGAUGAAAAGUAAGAUACAUUCUUGCGGUUGGCCUCGAUAUUGCAUUAUCUUGUGUCACAUGAUGUAUUCCAUACUAUUUACAUCUACAGGAACAAGAGCUCUGUCAGUGUGCAGAAAUGAGAAAAAAAGUAGAGAUGGAGAGGUGAGGAGAGAAGAGGAAGUGACUGAUCCAUUCUCAUCCAUCACAGAGACACGUUCCUGCCGUUCAGUCUGCUGCGUUGUCACCUAGCGUGUUUACUUUCCAAGCAUAAGACUAUUAUAAAUGAGACCCACACACCCACCUACCGAUGUUAAGCAAAGAGAUUGUCAAUGUGUGCUGGAUUAAACGAGAGAAGGCUAUCAAUAAUAUGUGCUCAGUACAGAUGCAUGUUAGGACCUUUCUCUCAUGUCAUGUUUCAAUCCUUCAGCGACAGUGGGUCAAUGCGGCCCCCUCCACAGAUAACUGCUGUUACUGAUGGGCUUCUCUGAUUGAAUUUUAUACUACAGUUAGGUCCGGCCACGCAGCGUGAUUGGCUGACAAUAAUUUUUUGAAAUAACAGCUUGUCAUCUGUAACCGUGUCAUUCUGCUGACCUGGGCUUCCAAUUGCUAAGGGACAGAAACAUCCCCUCACAUUUUAAAGUGUAUGUAGUAUCUGUUUGACCAGCAUCACCACUCAUAUUAUGGUGGUUGUUGUGUCUUAGAUAAGAAAAAAAUCAUGGAAUAUGAAAGAUGUCAUCAUUUAUUGUAUUUUGUGCCAAAGCAAUGGAAAUGAUCCACAGUUUAGCCCACACAGACUACUGUUGUGCUCACAGUGUGGAGAGUUUUGAAGUGAUCAAAGUACGGCCCAUUUCUCUUUAUUGUAAAAAAAAAGCUGUAUAACAGGGCAGUGUUUUGAUAGAAUAAAAUUUUACACUGUGGUUGUUGUACACUGUUAUUAUACACUGUGGCGCUGUUUUUGUGUUAAUAUUGUCUAGACAUUAAAGGGCCCAUAUUGUCAAAACUGAAGUUGCCUGGCUUUUUUCACGGUAACUGAGGUCUAGGGGCUAUUUAACUACCAUAUAAGUUUCAAAACAGUCAGUCCACAAUAAAAUACACACAGCCUGCAUAAAGUAGCUGUGAUUUUUCACAAACCUUCUUCAGUCUGUCUUCAGUCACCACCCCGACCACCGCCCCCCGUCCCAUGCCCCACUCUACUUCUGUCAAGCCCCCAGACAACAUUGCAUCCAUGCCAUUGCCAUUGCCGAGCACUGAGCAACAACAACACUGAAACAUGUCGAAAAUGUUAACUUUAACCACGAAACCAGAUCAGCCGACCUGUAACGUUAUACUCUCACUCAAAGGAUGGACGAUCUGACAGGAUUGUUACUAUAAGUUGGAUCUCAUCUAACGUGUAUAGUAAAGACAAACAGCUGUCAUCGUUUUUAUUAUUAUUAUAAUAAUUUUUUUUAUUUUUUAUUUUUUGUCUGGCAGUGGCAGCAG